GUGCCAGCCGCCGCGGUAAUACGUAGGGCGCAAGCGUUGUCCGGAAUUAUUGGGCGUAAAGAGCUCGUAGGCGGUUGGUCGCGUCUGCCGUGAAAACCCAUGGCUUAACUGUGGGCUUGCGGUGGAUACGGGCCGACUUGAGGUAGGUAGGGGAGAAUGGAAUUCCCGGUGUAGCGGUGAAAUGCGCAGAUAUCGGGAGGAACACCGGUGGCGAAGGCGGUUCUCUGGGCCUUACCUGACGCUGAGGAGCGAAAGCGUGGGGAGCGAACAGGAUUAGAUACCCCAGUAGUCC
RNAcentral lists this ribosomal RNA (292 nucleotides) under uncultured bacterium. Its description in RNAcentral is "partial 16S ribosomal RNA". It matches the Rfam family "Bacterial small subunit ribosomal RNA", at positions 505 to 796 of the family's 1533-position model. The record is from RNAcentral.